CCUACGGGAGGCAGCAGUGAGGAAUAUUGGUCAAUGGGCGAGAGCCUGAACCAGCCAAGUCGCGUGAGGGAGUACUGCCCUAUGGGUUGUAAACCUCUUUUGUCGGGGAGCAAAAGCCGGACGUGUCCGGCUGUGAGAGUAACCGAAGAAAAAGCAUCGGCUAACUCCGUGCCAGCAGCCGCGGUAAUACGGAGGAUGCGAGCGUUAUACGGAUUUAUUGGGUUUAAAGGGUGCGCAGGCGGAGUUUUAAGUCAGCGGUAAAAUCGGGGGGCUCAACCCCAUCCAGCCGUUGAAACUGGGGAUCUAGAGUGUGCGAGAGGUAUGCGGAAUGCGUGGUGUAGCGGUGAAAUGCAUAGAUAUCACGCAGAACCCCGAUUGCGAAGGCAGCAUACCGGUGCACAACUGACGCUCAGGCACGAAAGCGUGGGUAUCGAACAGGAUUAGAUACCCCAGUAGUC
This 458-nucleotide ribosomal RNA is filed under the name uncultured bacterium. Its description in RNAcentral is "partial 16S ribosomal RNA". It matches the Rfam family "Bacterial small subunit ribosomal RNA", at positions 338 to 795 of the family's 1533-position model. The record is from RNAcentral.